Molecule: unclassified non-coding RNA, 445 nt
Filed under: plant metagenome
Description: partial contains small subunit ribosomal RNA, internal transcribed spacer 1, and 5.8S ribosomal RNA
Rfam family: 5.8S ribosomal RNA (bases 397-445)
Source: RNAcentral
UUUCCGUAGGUGAACCUGCGGAAGGAUCAUUAUUGAGCCAAAAAGACUCCUAGUCAUAUGUCUAUGGAGCAGCUUGCGGGGUCGUCGCAUGUAUAUGUGAUCGAUUGCCGGCUAUCUAGCCGUACGCAAUCGCCCUUAGCGAGAACAACGUCUAUGCUUUAACAAGUGUAUUCGUUAUUAAAGUAAUCAACGGUCUUUCGGUUGGUGUCUACGCUCGGUCUAGUGAUCGCCAAUCCGUCGGUCAUGUUCGAAAACCGGGAGACAGUUCCUUUAAUCACUUGUGAUUGAGGUGAGCAGACUCAAUGAGCAUAUGCAGGGAUGCCGCCAACCAUAACCUCUAAACGAUGUUGAUAAUUCGUAUAUAUGAAGUUGAUUUUUAAUCGACUAAAAAGAUACCACUCUAAGCGGUGGAUCACUCGGCUCGUGUAUCGAUGAAGAACGCAGC